RNAcentral lists this long non-coding RNA (1512 nucleotides) under Malus domestica (apple). RNAcentral describes it as "long non-coding RNA (MDOM_LNC010849)". The record is from RNAcentral. Lineage: Eukaryota; Viridiplantae; Streptophyta; Magnoliopsida; Rosales; Rosaceae.
GAUCACUCCCCUGGGCGAUGUGGGAUGUUACAAUUUUACAUGUUUAGAAAAAUGGGGUAAGCAUAAAAUGCCCAGUAGCUGUAAGUCCGUAGUCAUUUAAAAUCUCUAGUGCAUGCCGAAAGUUAUAAAAGUGAUUCAAAACCGUUUAUUCUCACCACCACAUAGUCCAACAAUUUGAAAUAUGCUAAAAAAUUUAUGGAAAGUAACAUAUGAUAGAAAAACCAAAGGUUUCGGAGCAUUAGCAGCAUGAUAACAACCGUACAACACACAAGUUCAAAAAUCACUUCUUUUGUCAUAAGGAUAACAAAGCCAUUAUCAUUGAAAGAAUCACUAGCACACCCAAAUCACAAAGAUCUUCUUUUAUCCCAAACAAGUGACAAGCAGAUUGGAAAGAACCGUAAUAUACCUGGCCAAUAUACAUAUCACAUGUAUUUAUCACUUUCGUAACUCAUUCUCACAGCCCCCCACACAUGGAGCUUUCCCCGGGAAACCUUGGGUCAUUGUGCCCAUAAUCAAACAACUUCACGGGUCAUUGUGCCCAUUCAUACAUUUCUCAACAUUCUCAACUGCACAGGUAUUACACUACUUUCCAUCUACUUUCACAAUUUGAACAUUCAUAUUGAGAUGCUUCAGUAUGUGGUAUUGAGUAAAAUAAGAGGCCUGCACAUCCAAACAAAAUCUUGAAAAAUCAUUUCAAUCACUUUAAACUCACCAAAGUUGUAGUAACGGAAUUUGAAUCAUUAAGAUCAAGCCAUAGUGAAAUAUUUUCUCCACUUCUUUCACAUAAUCGAAAAAUAAAACAUUUUAAGUAAGCUUAAAAAAAAUGUUCAAAUGCCAUCAAUCCUUGAUCAAGUAAAAAUGAAAAACCAAAAUAUUUUAUUUUUGAUUAAAACUCCCCUACCUCAACACAAUUUCUUGAUAUUCAACUUUCAGGGUGUUCGUCGACUUGUGUCGUCCCCUUGUCCUUCUCUUCCUUAUCUAUAAACAAGAAAAAUCAUUACACACCACUUAUACAAAUAUCUAACAACAUACCCUAAUUCAAGGUUAAUUGGGGACUUAAAUCAGACACUUGGUGCUCAACUCUAAAACUAUAACAUGAACUAUGAUACCUUCAUGUUCUUUUACUCCUACCCAAACUAAUUCAUGGGUUAACAAACCAUAAAAAUCAAAUAGAUCCCAAAGGUAAGAAAUAGAUACCUUAAAUGGAGACAAAGGAAAGAUCCUCACUUGUUCUAAUCUUCACAAGCAAAGAAAACUAAACUCCUCUUCCUUAGAUUUCCUUUUUGACAAGUGAAGAGCUAAAAGGGGUAAACCCCUUUCAUUACUUUCGGCUGGAGGGAAGGCAGGAAUGGAAAAUAGCUAAAUGGGGAUUCCUAGAACCCAUCCCUUUUUUUAUAUCCCAAACGUCAACUUUACCCCUUUUUUUUUAAUGGCCAAAGGCCAAUUGAUCUAACCUCAAAUAAGGCAAAUCAAUUUUUGCUAACAAAGACCUCAAGUGAUUCACUCUUAAUC